Molecule: long non-coding RNA, 279 nt
Filed under: Numida meleagris (helmeted guineafowl)
Lineage: Eukaryota; Metazoa; Chordata; Aves; Galliformes; Numididae
Description: lncRNA (ENSNMEG00000021758.1)
Source: RNAcentral
CCAGAGCACGGAGCUAGCAUGCCAUUGACACUGAAGUUUUUCUUUGUGAAUGAAUCAGGCACUGACACCUGAUCUUUGGAGGUGUGGAGAGGUGAAGCACUUGGAGAUAUGCAAGCGAGACCUGAAGCUGCUUCUGCUGCUGUUGCUUUGCUUAUGUUAGGUUUCUCCUUUUCUGGAAGCAGUGACAAUUCCACGAGGACAAUUUUCAUCACAGUAAAGAGAAUGGCUGCUGAUCCAGGCCAGUAUGUGAAGGAUGCUGAAGGUCUAUCUAUGGAAUGA